RNAcentral lists this long non-coding RNA (867 nucleotides) under Felis catus (domestic cat). Its description in RNAcentral is "lncRNA (ENSFCAG00000051641.1)". The record is from RNAcentral. Lineage: Eukaryota; Metazoa; Chordata; Mammalia; Carnivora; Felidae.
UGUUAGGUAUGUGAGUGCCACAGCUCGGAGAGCCGAUAAAAAUCCGGGUCGCCGUCAAGCUGCGUGAGUUGAGAGGAAGCGGCGCCUUCGGUGACUUCCUUUGGGGAAGGUUUGUUUUGUGCUGGUGAAGUGCUCCCCCUGGUGGACCAGGAGUUGAUAGGUUUGUGAUCGCGUUCUGUAGGGAGCAAAUGUGCUCUGGAGAAAACCCCCCGCAGUUUCAGAUACGCGGAGAUGUCCUCCAGGAAGAAAAAAAAAAAAAAAAAAAAAAAGCUAACUUUAAAGAGCACCAAACCCAAGCUCAAGACCCCGCUGGGCUCCGGCUUGAUUUUGAGCACGGCCUUCCUGCAAGAGAGGUUUUGUGUAGACACGGAGAGAGCUUCUAUACUUGAAGAGAAGUCGGGCUCCAUGGUUUCUGAGGAUCCACCCGGUGCUGUAGUUGGGCCGGGUCGGCAUGCUUUCCUUUCGGUUGUGAUUUUCAAGUUGGAAAAGGAAGUGCAUCAGGUUAAGAGGCUUGUUUAAGGCUGGAAAGUCUGUGGCAGAGAACAGAACUCAUCUCCUGUGACUGCCGGUGGCUGCUUCAUUUGCUACCACAGGGUGAGUGCCCCUUAAGCACACUCUCACCAAUCCGCAAAUACUAGUUAUUUAAAAGAAUGUUUUCUUCUUCUAGGGCAUAGCGUUAUUUUUUAAAAUUCUUUUUUUUUUAACGUUUAUUUAUUUUGGAGACAGAGAGAGAGAGGGCACGAGCGAGCGGGGAGGGGCAGAGAGAGAGGGAGACACAGAAUCCGAAGCAGGCUCCAGGCUCUGAGCUGUCAGCACAGAGCCCGAGGCGGGGCUCGAACCCAUGAACCGUGAGAUAGUGACCUGAGC